Bombus huntii is the source of this 2446-nucleotide RNA transcript. It is a transcript of the gene named venom serine protease Bi-VSP-like, with no coding region annotated. The transcript has 7 exons. The record is from RefSeq and is a predicted model, not a curated record. Lineage: Eukaryota; Metazoa; Arthropoda; Insecta; Hymenoptera; Apidae.
AAAUCGACGUCUUAAACAUUAAAAAUAAUAGAUAAACACAAUUUAAUAGUUUUGCCCACUUCUCACACCUCGUUAUGGUAUUUAAUCUAAUUUCCUUCUAAUCUUAGUUUUGCUCAAAAUACAUAUAACAUGUACGUUAUAAAUUGGAGUAUUUCAAUACACAAAUCAAUAGAAGAUUAUUACUGUAUAUAAGUAUAAUUUCAAUACAAUUCGAUCGAUAUAUUUCAGUAUCUUUGAUUAAAAAUUUAACGAUCCUUUCAGGCUGACCGUGGCGGACCACUGCUGAUACAACAUGAAUUAACCUCGUAUUUAAUAGGUAUUGUGUCUUAUGCUUAUAAGUGCGGCACAGCUGGGUAUCCCAGCGUUUACACUAGGGUCACAUCGUACCUUGACUUCAUUCUCCAAGCGAUGCAAUAAUAUGAUAUUACUGUUCCAUAAAUAUCAUUGUGUAAAAAACGUAAAGUUGGAUUUUCUUAUUGUGGAGAUAAGAAACAGCUCAAAUUUACAUUGUUUUGUACGUUACAAAUUAUAGGCUUAAAAUGUACGAAAUGUAACUUUGAAACGACACUAAUUUUUUACGCACGAUAAACCUCCACGACUUAGGAAAACAGUGCAGGAUGCUGUGAUUCGUUUCUUGUGGUCGGAGGUUAUGUUUGAUGCCUAUAUUUAUCAAAGAUUUAAUGCACAUUAUGGAGAAAGUGUUUUGUCACGAAGUGUGUUUGAAUGGGCACAAAAGUUCAAAGAAGAUCGCACAAGUGUUAUGAAAAAACAGCUGGACGCCCGUCCACAUCCACGAUGACAACAUUGAACGUGCUCAUGAACUUAUGCUCUAUGGAAUAGACGAGUGACACUGGAUAAUGUGGCAAAUCAUUUGCAAAUCAGCCACGGCUCUGCUUAUGCAAUAGUGCACGACAGAUUUGGAUUUUAAGAAGUUUAUGCGAGAUGGAUGCCGAAAAAGCUGAUGAAAAGGUGAAGACGACGAUGCAUUCGUGGUUCGCAGCUCAGCCCAAAACAUUUUUUAAUGAGAAAAUACGAAGGUCCUUCGGCAAAUGGACAAAGUGUAUACAGAAAUCGAGUGAUUAUGUCAAAAAAUGAUGUAUGUCUUUUUUGACAAUUGCUUAAAAUAAAUUCUACACCGACAGAGCGGGUAACUUUUUACUCACCCUCGCUGUUAAUCUAGAGGCUGGAGUACAAAGAAGUGGCACAAUGAUGUGGGCUGAUGACAUUUAUAAUUAUCAAGGAAUCACCCCUACAUUCGCUCAGAAUUUUAAUGAAACUGUCCCUUGGGAAGGAAGAACUGAUACCUUGAUAUCACGGUUUGUACAUCCUAUAUAUACGACAAAUUUUAGAACAUUAUAUAACGAAGAACCAGAUCGUCGUGGCCAUGUGAUGUGAAUAAAAGGACUUGAAUUUGAUGAUAUUUUUAUAAUGUUAGAUAACAUAACUAAGUAUCUUCACAGUAAGAUAGGAUGCCAUGGUUUACAUGAUCUUAAUGUUGUUCACUUGAGUGAUGAUAUUAUAAGGAAAAGUGUAAUAUCACAGGAUAUUUAUGUUUAGUAACCAGUAAUUCAGAGAUUGGUAUUCAUGGUUACUAUAACGAGGCUGUAGAAACGCACCCUUUCUUCUUUGCAAAUGGUCCUGUAUUUAUGUCUAAGCCGAAACUGGAACCUCUGAAUAAUUUAGAUUUAUUCUUGUUAUUUUCUAAAAUACUUAUCUACAGUAUACCAUAAGGAAUGAUACCGUAUCGCACCUAAGCAAGUGCCUUAAGAAACAUCAACAGGAUAUCACAGUAAUCCCUUAUCGACUGAUAUUUGUAGCCACUACAAUAUCUAUGACACUGGUAGUAAUUAUAAGAACAAUAACGAUGUUCUAUAAGAGGAAAUGAUGAUUAGGAACAAAAACUUACAGGAGAUAUCAUGCGGUGGAUGGAUAAUAUGUAAAAAAUAUUAAGCAGUAUAUGAAUUUUCAUAUUGCGUAGAGAUAACAAAAUGAAUUUUAAAAAAUGUCGACAUGGUAAUAAGAAAUAGCAUCAUGACAAAGAAUAUAUAAACACAGUUUCAUUUUUUAUAAAUAAAAAUUUGUUGUUCCAGAUUUUGAAAUAUAGUGAAACGUUUAAUUAGUAUCUUAAUAUCUUUAAAUAAUUAUUAUUUUAGAAUCAAUUGUAAUUGUAUCAUACGUACUUUUGAAUUCGUGCAAGAACAUAUGUUAUUUUGAAGUAGUUAUUAUUAGGAAAUUGUUAGACGCGAACAGUAUGCGAAAAGUUAGUAUGUAGUGUAAUAAUUAUCAAUCAAAACACAAGAAUUAAAUUCUUUAGGAAAAAAUUUCCGGAAUUUCUUAUUUACAUGAUUAUAAAGAAAUCCAUAAUAAAAAGGAGCUGCUUUCUAAUACUUCUCUUCCUUGUAAUGCCUAUGUUAAUAAUAACGAGGUUCGACUUUUUGUUUAUAGA